Macrobrachium nipponense is the source of this 301-nucleotide long non-coding RNA. RefSeq lists it as uncharacterized. NCBI's taxonomy places the organism in Eukaryota, Metazoa, Arthropoda, Malacostraca, Decapoda, Palaemonidae. The transcript has 4 exons. The record is from RefSeq and is a predicted model, not a curated record.
CAAAUGGCUACGCAAUGUUUACACUUGCUGUGCGAUUGGGGUUUCUUCAAGUUACUUUGAUUUUUUCAUUUUAUUUAAGGUAGCAAAUUUGGCCAUCGUACUUGUCGUGGGUGGGGGCCCAUUUACUGUACAUAUCCAUUAGGUGGUAGAUGUGGCCGUCGGAGUAAGCAUCGGCUGCGGCCAUUUUGUUGGCAGAUCCGAAAAAUUUUGACCUCUAUGGGUCCGACACCUUUUCUGGCUGUGGCACAUUGUAAAUUAUAGUUUUAGGAAGGAUUCCCUCAAUUUAUUUUCUUAUAUAGGC